RNAcentral lists this transfer RNA (72 nucleotides) under Candidatus Portnoyibacteriota bacterium. RNAcentral's name for it is "Candidatus Portnoybacteria bacterium tRNA-Arg". It matches the Rfam family "tRNA". Rfam says of the family: Transfer RNA (tRNA) molecules are approximately 80 nucleotides in length. Their secondary structure includes four short double-helical elements and three loops (D, anti-codon, and T loops). Lineage: Bacteria; Candidatus Portnoyibacteriota. The record is from RNAcentral.
GUCCCCAUAGCUCAACGGAUAGAGUGUGAGCCUCCGAAGCUCAAGAUGAAGGUUCAAUUCCUUCUGGGGGCG